CCUACGGGUGGCAGCAGUGAGGAAUAUUGCGCAAUGGGGGAAACCCUGACGCAGCAACGCCGCGUGAGUGAGGAAGGUUUUCGGACCGUAAAGCUCUGUCGAGCGGGAAGAAGUGCAUGGUGGCUAAUAUCCAUUAUGCUUGACGGUACCGCUAAAGGAAGCACCGGCUAACUCCGUGCCAGCAGCCGCGGUAAUACGGGGGGUGCUAGCGGUGUUCGAGAGCGUUGGGCGUGAUGGAUGAGUAAGAGGUGAAAGCCCUGGGCUUAACCUAGGAAGUGCAUUUGAAACUGUGCAGCUUGAGUAAGGGAGAGGAAAGUGGAAUUCCUGGUGUAGAGGUGAAAUUCGUAGAUAUCAGGAGGAACACCGGUGGCGAAGGCGACUUUCUGGCCCUAUACUGACGCUGAGACGCGAGAGCGUGGGUAGCAAACAGGAUUAGAUACCCUGGUAGUC
RNAcentral lists this ribosomal RNA (450 nucleotides) under uncultured bacterium. RNAcentral's name for it is "partial 16S ribosomal RNA". It matches the Rfam family "Bacterial small subunit ribosomal RNA", at positions 338 to 795 of the family's 1533-position model. The record is from RNAcentral.